ACAUUUCUCAGAAAUUUCACAACAAAACAAAACAAAGGGAGAUAUUUUGAGCCAACAAAGAAGGCGCAGUUGGAAAAUGGAGUUAUUAGUAAUGAAGCAGCAGGCAUAUUUGGAAAAUUAUGCCGAUAAGCAAGAUGGAAUUUGUUGUAAUUGAAUUGUUUAAUAGAAAUGUUAUAAAUCGAGUGGCUCAUUUACGAUGUGCUCCAAACAUUUGA
Molecule: long non-coding RNA, 215 nt
Organism: Rhagoletis pomonella (apple maggot)
Lineage: Eukaryota; Metazoa; Arthropoda; Insecta; Diptera; Tephritidae
Exons: 2
Source: RefSeq, a predicted model, not a curated record